This 205-nucleotide ribosomal RNA is filed under the name uncultured bacterium. RNAcentral describes it as "partial 16S ribosomal RNA". It matches the Rfam family "Bacterial small subunit ribosomal RNA", at positions 568 to 774 of the family's 1533-position model. The record is from RNAcentral.
UGCGUAGGUGGUGGGGUAAGUCGGAUGUGAAAUCUCCGAGCUCAACUCGGAAAUGGCAUUGGAAACUACCCUGCUAGAGGGUCGGAGGGGGGACUGGAAUGCUUGGUGUAGCAGUGAAAUGCGUAGAUAUCAAGCGGAACACCAGUGGCGAAGGCGAGUCCCUGGACGACUCCUGACACUGAGGCACGAAAGCUGGGAGCAAACA